UACGAGGGGAGCUAGCGUUGUUCGGAAUUACUGGGCGUAAAGGGCGUGUAGGCGGUAUCAUAAGUCAGAUGUGAAAGCCCUGGGCUUAACCUAGGAUGUGCAUUUGAUACUGUGAAACUAGAGAUCGAGAGAGGAAAGUGGAAUUACGAGUGUAGAGGUGAAAUUCGUAGAUAUUCGUAAGAACACCAGUGGCGAAGGCGACUUUCUGGCUCGAUACUGACGCUAAGGCGCGAAAGCGUGGGGAGCAAACAGG
This 253-nucleotide ribosomal RNA is filed under the name uncultured bacterium. RNAcentral's name for it is "partial 16S ribosomal RNA". It matches the Rfam family "Bacterial small subunit ribosomal RNA", at positions 524 to 776 of the family's 1533-position model. The record is from RNAcentral.